This is a small nuclear RNA of Tachyglossus aculeatus (Australian echidna), 132 nucleotides long. Lineage: Eukaryota; Metazoa; Chordata; Mammalia; Monotremata; Tachyglossidae. The record is from RefSeq and is a predicted model, not a curated record.
GUGUUGUAAGAAAGGAGAGAAGGUUAUAGCACUCCCCUUGAGAGAAGAAUAGAAGAGAUCUUAGUGGUCUUUACACUACAUAAACGGUUAAGGGAUUGCCACCUACUUCCUGGCAUCUGACCACGUAUUUCC